GAGUCCUGGUUCUUACUCUUCUUAGCUUCCAUCUUGUACGUUUGGGAACAGGUUUUGGAAAUCAACGUGGUUUGAAAUAGUGUUUCACCUCAGCAAACAUUAGCAAAUUAGUUUCUUGGAAGCUCUUAUGGACAGGUUUUGAGAGGAUUCCUCAAGUUUGACCUCAAGCAAGAUUCACUACUAACUUUGAAGUAGAAUAAGGUUGUACAUUGUUCAUGUGGAUGCUAUUGGCUAAAUUUCUAUAGCAAUGGCACGAGAAUAUAGCACCUGUGAUCUGACCAAGUCACAGCCUGCUUUCCAUAGUCGUAUUUUGACUCCAGCAUACCCAUGCCUGCUGUGUCAUCCUGAUGCCCUGUGUGGCCACAUGCAUCAUAAUACCAACACCCUUUACAUCCCCUUCCAAAAAUGUGAAGAAUGGUAAGAGAAGUAAGCCAAGGACACCAUCCUGGAAUCACUAGCUUUGCACUGGAGCCCAACAAUGAUACUGAGGAGCCAGCAAAAAGAAAGAGGCAAGAGAAAAAUGAAGAACAUGGUUAUCAUGGAAGUGCAGAGAAGAGAGAGUUUCAGGAAGGAGGGAGGGAUCAAGAGUGUACAUGUCUCAAAGAGCCAGUAUGACAAGAACUGUUUUUACACCUGGAGCUUCCCUGGAGGGGAGGGACUGUUUCCUCAAAUAUCCUCGCACCCAGUGUGUACUCAGUGCUCAGAGAGAAUGCAGAAAAGCUGGGGAUGAUUUAGAGGAGAGGAGGAAGCACUUUUCCUAGAAGAUUGGCGUUAUCAGCAAAGGGCGAGGGUUACGAUGUGAUAAACCUUGAGUGAUGAAGGCUUCCAGCUAGUAGAAUUUGGGUGCGUCGUCUUGUUUUCUGAAUUCCGUGAACUUGCUGAACUUAAACAAUGAGAUUGGGAUUCUAGCUGCAUGGAUCUACCGUGGAGUCUGAAAUAGUACCUAGAGCUGUGGUAUGAAACUUGUAACAAGGACAUUUUUUGUAUAGUUUACUCCUUCAACAGAUGCAGUUGACAUGCUGUAAAUUAGUAUUGCUCUUCUAUUUAAUUCUGUUGCUUUUUAUCUUAUUUAUUAAUGCUCAGGCAGGUUUGUUGACAAUUACGAGAAUUGCAAAUAAGUGUCACCAUGUGUUUGCUAUUUCCAUUAACCCUAAGGAAUAGGUUUUACGUGUUACUGAUCUGUCAUCAUAUUGCACACGUGGAUGCCAUCUUUAUUUUUGACUAGUAGUUUAAUAAAUGCAAAGCCUGCAUGUUUCUACAUAUUCUAGUCAGUGUCCAAAGUGUAUUGCACCUAAAUGGGUUUGGUGGUAUAAAUAAGGAUGGAGAAAGAGAGGGAGAGGGAAAGGAAGAGAGAGAGAGAUGGAGAGGAUGAAUGAAAAUAGGAAAGAAGGUCCUCAUGACAGAAAAAAAUAAAAAUCUGUGACUGAACUUAGCUGUCCCUCUUGAACCUCCUCCGUUUUUAUAGGUCAGUAACUGUGGGCACUCUCUCGCCUGUGUGCCCAUCCAUGUUUUGAAAUUAAAAGAAAACAUUGAGUUGUUAUAACCAAGAUGUGAUAGGAGUCUUGGCAUUUCUUUUAGAUUGUGAAGAAAUGUUUGUGUUUAAAUAUAAGAUUUUUUAAAACUCAUUAAAAAACAUAGGAAGCAUGUGAGCUGGUUCUGAGGAGGAGCACUGGGAGUGGCCGCCAAGACUGGGCA
RNAcentral lists this long non-coding RNA (1695 nucleotides) under Equus asinus (donkey). RNAcentral's name for it is "lncRNA (ENSEASG00005036624.1)". Lineage: Eukaryota; Metazoa; Chordata; Mammalia; Perissodactyla; Equidae. The record is from RNAcentral.